CCUACGGGAGGCAGCAGUGGGGAAUAUUGCGCAAUGGGCGAAAGCCUGACGCAGCGACGCCGCGUGAGGGAUGAAGGUCUUCGGAUCGUAAACCUCUGUCAGCAGGGAAGAACGGUCACUGUGCUAAUCAGCAGUGAAUUGACGGUACCUGAAAAGGAAGCACCGGCUAACUCCGUGCCAGCAGCCGCGGUAAUACGGAGGGUGCGAGCGUUAAUCGGAAUUACUGGGCGUAAAGCGCUCGUAGGCGGUAUGUCAAGGCAAGGGUGAAAUCCCCGCGCUCAACGUGGGAACUGCCGUUGAAACUGGCAAACUGGGGGGUGUGAGAGGAUAGUGGAAUUCCAGGUGUAGGAGUGAAAUCCGUAGAUAUCUGGAGGAACAUCAGUGGCGAAGGCGACUAUCUGGCACAUAACUGACGCUGAGGAGCGAAAGCGUGGGUAGCAAACAGGAUUAGAUACCCUUGUAGUC
This 465-nucleotide ribosomal RNA is filed under the name uncultured bacterium. RNAcentral describes it as "partial 16S ribosomal RNA". It matches the Rfam family "Bacterial small subunit ribosomal RNA", at positions 338 to 795 of the family's 1533-position model. The record is from RNAcentral.